AUAUAUUAAAGUCAUUUUGUGGAAGACUUUCAGUGCUGAGAUGAGGAUUUUUUAAUUUUAUCCUAGACAAUAAGGAGCUACUGGAGAUUUUUGAAUACAAGGUUUACCUGGUCCUAUCUAGGCCUUAGGAAAAUUAUUUUGGCAGUUUCCCCAUUUUACACUUAAGGAAUCUGAGGCAGACAGAGGUUAGUGACUUGUCCACAGCCAUAUAACUUGUAAUUGUCUGAAGCCACAUUUGAACUCAGGUCUUCCUGGCAAUAGUCCUAGUCUCUCCAUUAUGACACCUAGCUGUCUCUAUAGUAGGAGAGAUGAGAUGAUGAGGGCCUGAAGUAGAGUGGCCUUGUUAUUGGAGAGAAGGAGACAGAACUAAACAAUGUUGUGGAAGUAGACCUGAUGAAAACUAAGUUUCAUGUUUGCCAGGAUUAUAAUAAAGAGAAGUGCUGAAGAUGGAAGCAAAGACAGAGAGAUUCGGAAGGAGGGAUCUAAUGAAGUACCAUCUGAGGUACUAAUACACAAACACCAUCACAUACCUGCCGACCUUUGAAAACUACACAUAAGAAAACCGCAUAAUUUCACAGGUAUGUUCUAAAUUACAUACUUAAUAACCAAAAAACAUUAAUUGGGUCACUACUUUUUCUUCUAAAAAUAGACAUUUGCCCACCUAGAUAUGGAGAGUUGGCAUGUAUGUUCACUAAAAGAUCUGUGAUAUAGAUAUUUGAUAGUUUAACAUUACUAAAGCAAGUUUAAUAAAACAUUUAACAAACUGACAAAAGUGGAAUUUCCCCACUCUAUUCUUUUCUUUCCUUUUCUGCUUACCAAAGAACAGCAUAAGGCAGAAAGGAGAAUGGAAUAUCAGAAGGGAGCACAUGAUGAUAUGCAGAGAGGCAGCCAGAGAAAGACAUACGAACUGAAAGCUAUCAUACAAAUAAUACAGAUGGCCAUACCAUGACACAGAUAGUUUUUAAGACUUACCCACACUCACAGAUUGAGUCAGCAGAGGAGACCGGAAUCCUGACUCCCAUAAGACUAUACUUCCUGUUAAUAAUAGCGAGGGCAGUAGGUAAGGGUGGAAGAGUCAGACAAUAUGGGUUAAUUUAAAGGCGUUAGAAAAACGCUUAAAAUUUUUUUUAAAUGAAUUUGGGUUAUUAUCCUCUAUGGGCUAAAAAGAAAUAAGUCACUACACCCUUAAAUUCACCAUAUUUUUCAUGGUUCUUUUUUUCAAGAUUUAAGUGACGUCUAGGCUAUUCUCCCUCCAAAUUUUAACUCAAAAGAGAAACAAAGUGGAGAAAAAAGUAAGAGUUCAAAAAUAUCUUUUCACUAAGAGGUUUUUAGGUUGGGAUCCUUUCCUUUCCAGUCUUUUUUCCUACACCAAAAUAGUCCUGGUUUACUUCUCAUACAGUGUUUCAACUGUACUUGACAAUCACAGAUCCCUCAACCCUUUGGUAGUGAUAAAGCAGCAUUUCUCUUUAUAGGUGUGUGAGAGGCCAAUAUAAGAUAGUGGAGCUCAAAGAUAGGUUGAGAGUUGGAAGAAAACAUAACAAAUGUCUUCAAAUAAGAAGAGUUAAAAUCAUAAUGCUAAUCUUAGGACCAAAAUACAGAAGCUACAAAAAGUAUGUUUUCAAGUUCACUAUUGAAGUUAAAAAAAAAAAAACCAACUACUUACUAGGAAUUUCUGUCAAAAAUUGGAAUAUGGUAUUUCAUAAGGUGGAAAAGUCUUCAUCACUGGAACCGUUUAAGUAAAAGCUAUAUAACCAUUUGUUAGGGAUAUUUGGAGAAAAAUUCAUACUUUGCCUUGGUGUGACUAGAGCAAUUGGACUAAUAACCUCUAAGGUUUCUUCUUUCAAUUCAAGGGUUUCUUUAAUUCUGAGAAUUCUAUCAAAUUUUUCAUUGGUAGGGUGAUUUUCCAAUUUUAUUUUACUUCAAAUCACAAUGGUACUUAUUGCAGAGGGGAUUCUGAUUCAGAUACUGGUUAGCCUAGAUAGUAUUUGAGGUCCCUAUCUACUCUAGGAAUAAAUAAUUCUAGAACCUGUUCAUUUCUAAGUAGAUUUGAGAAGGGAAGGGAAGAUGGAUUCCAGGUAAAGAAAUGGUAUCCUUUAACUCUGAUAUUUAUAUACUUUAUCUAUUUUUUUCUAACUGCAAUUAAAUAAACUUGCCUUCUUUGGAGCAGCACAAGAUUGUUACUUCAUGAAUUGAUUUAAAUAAGUCAGUCAAAAGCCCCCAAAAUUUAGAGCCUAAAAGACAUCAUUUGGUAUGCUUUAGAAUUAAAUAGGCCAUUGGUAUUCAUUUUUAAAAGAUAUAAUAUAGCAACUCCAGAUGACUCUAAUAAUGGUAGAACUACACAAUAAAAGUUCUAGAUUCAGUAAAUUUUUUCCAGGUCUCAUAUUUGGAUCAGUUUGGCUUAACUUUGCAAUUACUGUUGCUAUUUGUGCUUAUUUAGACUCACUUAAAAUGUGUACUUAUGACUUGGGACAAAUAUGAAAAGUGCUCCAAUUUAAUAUAUUAAAUAAUAAACUUAAAAACAAAGCUUCUUUGGGCUUAAUAAUUUUGCUGCUUCAUUUUUUAAAUUGUAAGCUUUACCAGAAACUUCACAGAUUUACCAAAACAUGCUUACAACAGCAGCUGUGGAACUAAGUCAGGAGUUCAAAGUAAUUGCCAGCUAUAAAUGGAGAAUGCAAAUUGAUGUACCUCUUUGGAUGUUUUCAGUAAUAUAUUGAAGCAAAACUACAUUCUAGUAAUAAAGCUAUCUAAAAAAGAAAUUCAGACUAGGAAGAAAUAGAACUAAAUUUCCCUAUUUACAUCAAAUAUUAGUAGGAAAAUUGUCUUCUGAGCUAUUUAUAUUAAAAAGUUUUUUAAAGUAUUUUGGAUUAGUGUACUUUUUACCCUUAAUCUACUUUUUAAGACUUGAUAAAUAUUUUGAAGGAUCAGAAAUUUACCUCAAGGAAUUUGAGAGCUACAACAAUGUCAUAUAUUUAAUUUACAUUUAUUAAGGAAGUCCACAGUUCUUUUAAAUAAAACUCUCUUACAGUGUUAAGUUAUAAAUUCUGAUAAAAUUACUGGCAAACAAAAUAGAAACUUAGUUAAAGAAAGUUCUAAUUAAGGUCUAUACAUUUCUGACCAUUAUAUAAAAGUUCAAGCCUGAUUUCUAUAAACAUCUACUGUUGUAAUUUAUAUGCAAUAAUCAAAAUAAAAUCAAAGAAAAACUCUAACAUCAUUUUUGACAAAAAAACAAACAAACCUGAUUUACUGGAAUUACUCAAGAGAUUAAAUAUCUUAGAUGGUUAAAACAAUGGAAGAGGUCAUUCAGUCCCCUAAUCAUUUAACAAUAGCUAGUACAUGCUUUAAAUUUUGCAAAAUGCUUUAGAGAUGUUAGUUUAUUUGAUCCUAAAAUCAUUUUAGUAUGAAAGAGGGAAAACAAAAAUCCUAGAAACACUAUGUGGUUCCAUCAAUUAAUUAAUUUUUUUAAUUACUAUUCCAUUUGUCUACUUAUGUUAUUAAUCCCUCCAGCUGUUUGUACAAUGUCUGGAACAUAUGAGGCACUUAAAAAAUGAUUGUUGACUGGUUCUAUGUCUCAAAUACUAAGAAAAUUAUCAAACUACUCUGGAGGUUUCCUACUGUUUCCUUAGUCUUACCUUAAAUCUAUCAAAAUAUUACCUCUAUGCCUUACCAUCAUGUCUGAAAUAAUAUCUGCUCUAAUGUCAAAUAAAAAAGAAACAAUCUAUAACUAGAAGUAAAGAUUAGACACUAAUGUAGAGCUUUCUUUUUUGCACUACAACAUCUAAAAUUUGUUUUGGCUGAGCUGAUUUUUACUUCAUUUUGUCCAAAUAUGCUAAAAUAAAUAAAACAACAAACCAAUUUGUAAUGUCUUAUGUUCAAUAUAUAGUUUUAAAUUAUUAUUUCUUUUGAGACAGAGGCAAAAAUGCUUGGUUUAUGAUCUAAAAGAAAAUUUGCAAACCUUCAUUGCCACAGUUGUUGAAAUGAUAGAAAAUACUAAGGGAGACAACAGAACUGAAUUUAUAGAAAGUUACAUAUUUUUAAUUGAGUAGGCAAGAUGAAUCUCCUUGACCAGACUUAAAAAGUAAAUAUAGGUGGAAAAGGCCUUUCAAAAUUGAAAGAGAAUGAUGGCUGAUAUUCCUUUUAACUAGUCCUUAAUACUAUAGCAUAAUUAUUCAGCAAUUGAAUAAGCAUGACCUAUCCAGAAGGUGAAUUUUACAUCUGAAUGACUCCUUUACAAGGUUCAAUGAAGAUUACAGAAACAACCAACCAAAAAAAGUGAAUCCUAUUAGCUUUUCUACAGACAGUUUAUGGAGAGAUUCCUAAUUAAAUAUGCUUAAAGUCUUAAGCCAUUUGAAAUACAGUACUAAUCCAUAAAAUGGAAGAGUUUUCUGCCUAUAAGCUUAACAGUAUUUUGUAGUCCAUGAAAAUAUAAAUGCAAUGUCUAAAUAAAUGCAUAAACUAGGAAUCAAAUUUGCAGAAAAGUCAACAUUUAGCAGUGUAGGUUUUUGAUAAUUUUAUCUUUUCCUGAUUUCAUAUACCAUAUUUGCAACAUCAAGUGUGAUUAAAACAUACUGCCACUGCAAACAAGGGACAUUUAAAGAACAAAUCUAUUUGGAAACUGAAAGAAUGCUUCCUAUAAUUAAUAUUCUCAGUUUUCCCUGUAUUAAGGAUCAUUCAUCUCAGACUAUGGCAAUAAGACUAGAUCACUUUGUGUACAAUCGGACACCAUGUUUAUGUUCAGAGGUUAAUUUGUGUAUCAGUGCAUUGAUUUUGUGAAGGCAUACUAUUUGAAUGGUUACUUUUAACCAACUUAACAAUCUGAAUUAACCUCACAGAAAAACUUAAGCAGUUUGCCUUGCUUCAAAGGUAUUAAGAACAAUAUAAUUUUUAUGGCCUCACUGUAGGUAUAGAAAAACACUAGUAUGUUCUGAUGAAAACGUUUUUCAUAUUUAUGUUAGCAUAAAAAUACUUUUCCACUUCACUACCACUGCCAACAUUAACAAUGAGGAAAAAUCCAGGAAACAGUUCUUAAAUGUAAACUUCAUUUUCCUUGUAAAGUUCAUCUGUAAACUAUCCUGUGAAGCAAUCAUUCCACAGUCUCAAAAUUUAAAUAUCUCCUUUUGUCAACAAAAAAGAAACAAUUUUAGUAAGUGAACUUCAAAUGCUUAAAAAUUACAAUACCAAAAAGUUCCCACUGGAUGAAUAAAUUUAAAUUGGAUAAUUUGAGUCUUUAAGUACUGCCUUUUAAUAUUCAGAGUUAAAAUCAUUUAUUCAUGUGGUGAAUGAAUCAUGUUACUCUUAAAAAAACCCAGAGAUGAUAAAGAUGAAUUUUUCUCCACCCAUGUGUUGUUUCAUGUGAAAAUAAUAUUCAUACUGAGGUAUCUCAAGAAUAUGAUGAUCAGCAUUUUAGAUAUAUGCAUACAAGGUUCUCACUAAUAUCUUGUGAUAUUACUUGCAUUUUAUUAAUGUGUAAGGUAGACUAAUUUACUAUAAGUAUGAAAUAAACUUUUUCAAAGCAAGGUAAUAGGAAAUAAUGUUGUAAAUGAUAUUAAUUUAAAGCUUUAUCUGUAAGAAUUAGUCAACCAUAGUAAGCAAUAGAAAUGCAAUUAUGCUCUAUUUUCCAUUCCUCAUACAGAUAGUCUCUUGAAAAACCGAGUUUCUCAAUACCAAUUUAAUCUUUAUUCUUCUUAGAGAUUCCAAUGGGUACAUUUAAUUAGAUUUAGAUUAUUUUACUAUUAUGUAAUCAUAAUUAAUAUAUGGACACCUGAAAGCAUUUUUUUCUACUUACUACUAAAAAUUGAAAUAGUUAAUCAUAGUAUGGUUCUAUAGAUUAUAUAUAUUUGAAGCUGCUCAGACAUCCUUAUAUUAUUCUAUUUGAAGGACAAUUUUAGAUCAUUCAAAUUGUUGAAAGUUAUUGAGCGUUUGAAGUUUUUCAUUUUUAAGACUAUCAAGGUUGUUCUCACACCUUAAGUACCUGUAAUAUACCUAUCAUACUUUCACUAUAAAAUUAUAUAUAAAUAAGAUAUAUAAACAUAGCAAUAUAUUAUCAUUGAGGAAAACAAAAGGGCCAUCAUGUGCAAAGUCUUUCAUUAAUGAUUUUAAUAUACUGUAUUAUUUUAACACUGAGCUUCUUAACAUGACAAAUAAUAAGUUUCCAGGCAUACCUCAGAAUGUUGAAUCUGAUUAUUUUUAGAGACAAGAGUACCUUUUCUACUGAGAAACUUCUCCAAUAUUAAUAUUCACACAGGCUAGAUUCUGAUAGACUUUAAAGAUAGGACUGUUAGCCACUUUGACAGAUUAAUACUUAACAAAGUAUCUUUGUUUAAUAUGACAAGACAUCUCAGCAAAUUUAAUUUAUGUUUAUGCUAGAUUGGAUAUAACUGUGGACAUCAGAGUCUCAGGUAUUCACCUGAAGAUCAUUAAGUAUUUGAUAAACAAGGAAGUGGAAAAUAGCUAUUUUGACUUCAAGGAUGGAACAACAGUAGACUUUAUAAUAAGAGAGUAUGCCACAUGAUUUAGCACAUUAGAAAUAAGAACUACAUUUACCCUGGAAUGUAGUUCAUUCACAGUGCUUUUAAAAAUUUCUCCUCUCAUUUUCACAUAAAAGAUAAAACAUAUGUUUACAGUGAAGUAAAAAAAGUAUAGCUUAACAUUAGGACAAAAAAUAACUAUAACCUCAAAGAACAUGUUCUUCUGAUAUAUAAAAAAUAAGCUUACAAUGCAAAUCUUUACUGUCAAUCUUGACAAUAUAAAAGUUAAAAUAUGAGAAAAAGAUUUUAAUCAAAACAUAUUUUUCUCAGAAAAGUUACCUCACCAUUCCUAGAUUAGUGAAGUCACUCAUUUGAAAAACCAAC
Monodelphis domestica (gray short-tailed opossum) is the source of this 6848-nucleotide long non-coding RNA. RefSeq lists it as uncharacterized. The record is from RefSeq and is a predicted model, not a curated record. Lineage: Eukaryota; Metazoa; Chordata; Mammalia; Didelphimorphia; Didelphidae.